AGACGUAGGGGGCAAGCGUUGUCCGGAAUUACUGGGCGUAAAGGGUGCGUAGACGGUUCUGCAAGUCUGGAGUGAAAGCCCGGGGCUCAACCCCGGGACUGCUUUGGAAACUGUGGAACUAGAGUGCAGGAGAGGUAAGUGGAAUUCCUAGUGUAGCGGUGAAAUGCAUAGAUAUUAGGAGGAACACCAGUGGCGAAGGCGACUUACUGGACUGUAACUGACGCUGAAGCACGAAAGCGUGGGGAGC
RNAcentral lists this ribosomal RNA (247 nucleotides) under uncultured bacterium. RNAcentral describes it as "partial 16S ribosomal RNA". It matches the Rfam family "Bacterial small subunit ribosomal RNA", at positions 523 to 769 of the family's 1533-position model. The record is from RNAcentral.